ACGGUUAUAUUACAUUGAAACAUUGGUUCCCGUAAUAUCUUUGAAGUUAAGCAACCUCGAGCCUGGUCUAGUACCUAGAUGGGUGACCGCUUGGGAAAGUCAAGUGCC
This is a non-coding RNA of Acanthosepion pharaonis, 108 nucleotides long. Lineage: Eukaryota; Metazoa; Mollusca; Cephalopoda; Sepiida; Sepiidae. The record is from the annotation of a GenBank genome assembly.